GGGCCCGUAGCUCAGUUGGUUAGAGCAGUGGACUCAUAAUCCAUUGGUCGAAGGUUCGAGUCCUUCUGGGCCCA
This 74-nucleotide transfer RNA is filed under the name Planctomycetota bacterium. Its description in RNAcentral is "Planctomycetes bacterium (marine sediment metagenome) tRNA-Ile". It matches the Rfam family "tRNA". Rfam says of the family: Transfer RNA (tRNA) molecules are approximately 80 nucleotides in length. Their secondary structure includes four short double-helical elements and three loops (D, anti-codon, and T loops). The record is from RNAcentral. RNAcentral also lists the same sequence under 1 other name. Lineage: Bacteria; Pseudomonadati; Planctomycetota.